RNAcentral lists this ribosomal RNA (112 nucleotides) under uncultured bacterium. RNAcentral's name for it is "partial 16S ribosomal RNA". It matches the Rfam family "Bacterial small subunit ribosomal RNA", at positions 1369 to 1482 of the family's 1533-position model. The record is from RNAcentral.
CGUUCCCGGGUCUUGUACACACCGCCCGUCACACCACGAGAGUUUACAACACCCGAAGUCGGUGAGGUAACCGCAAGGGCCAGCCGCCGAAGGUGGGUAGAUGAUUGGGGUG